GAUGAACGCUGGCGGCGUGCCUAAUACAUGCAAGUCGAGCGAACAGACGAGGAGCUUGCUCCUCUGACGUUAGCGGCGGACGGGUGAGUAACACGUGGAUAACCUCCCUAUAAGACUGGGAUAACUUCGGGACACCGGAGCUAAUACCGGAUAAUAUAUUGAACCGCAUGGUUCAAUAGUGAAAGACGGUUUUGCUGUCACUUAUAGAUGGAUCCGCGCCGCAUUAGCUAGUUGGUAAGGUAACGGCUUACCAAGGCAACGAUGCGUAGCCGACCUGAGAGGGUGAUCGGCCACACUAGAACUGAGACACGGUCCAGACUCCUACGGGAGGCAGCAGUAGGGAAUCUUCCGCAAUGGGCGAAAGCCUGACGGAGCAACGCCGCGUGAGUGAUGAAGGUCUUCGGAUCGUAAAACUCUGUUAUUAGGGAAGAACAAAUGUGUAAGUAACUAUGCACGUCUUGACGGUACCUAAUCAGAAAGCCACGGCUAACUACGUG
This 497-nucleotide ribosomal RNA is filed under the name uncultured bacterium. RNAcentral describes it as "partial 16S ribosomal RNA". It matches the Rfam family "Bacterial small subunit ribosomal RNA", at positions 28 to 507 of the family's 1533-position model. The record is from RNAcentral.